This is a long non-coding RNA of Mauremys mutica (yellowpond turtle), 1101 nucleotides long. RefSeq lists it as uncharacterized. The record is from RefSeq and is a predicted model, not a curated record. Lineage: Eukaryota; Metazoa; Chordata; Testudines; Geoemydidae. The transcript has 4 exons.
GAAGAGGUUUCUGUGCAGGGGUCGAGGAUGAGUGGGGAGCCAGGCUACAACGGAAGCCUAUGGUACAGAGAGCUCAGUGGUUUUACAUUGAGGAAUUGACCUUUGGAGGGCUCAAUACUAUUGCAUCGCUGCACUAGGGUGGGGAUCAAAGGCAACAGAACGAGAGCAGCGGAGAAGCGUUCCCUUAAAAGCUGCUUAACAGGUGAUACCAAAGUACUGAUACAGCAAGAAGGACAAAAGUUCAUGCUGCCCCAAGCACCACUAUGUGCAGCGCCAAGCUCCGUAACCCCUACAACGGCCGCUCUCAAACAGAGGCGUUGUUUAUCCUUUCCCCAACCCUGGCAGCGCAGUGGGUGUGGCUCAGCUAUACUGAUAUUGGCCUGCUGCUGCGGCUGCUGCUGAAGGCCGCCCCAGGGCUUGCGGAGGACUCCUGCAGACAGAGGCUGCUCUCUGGUAGAGCCGAGCCCGUGUAAACGGUGCGGCAGCAGCUGCCCGCUCCUUUCGUUCCCCCGUCCCGGCGCAAGGGAACAGGGGACACAGGGCAGGCCCUAUCCAGAAGGCAUGGUAUAGGAAAAAAUGCAAAGACGCUUGUUGGAAAAUUUGCAAAUGGCAAUCAACAUUGGCAUCAUUAGCAGAGUGUUUGCAGGGAUGGGCAUCUUGAUGGUGUGUAAGUGAUGAACGGUACUGUGACGAUAGACCAUGAAGACCCAUAAAAGAUUUUGGCCAUGGCAACGAUGUACUUGGCAACUGCCAUCCUGUCCUUGGCCACUGCAAUGAUCUCCUUCAAAAGCAACUUGACUGCUCUCCUCUCGGUCCUCAAACAUUGCCUCCACCUCCACUCUCCGCAAUCUUUUUUUAUGUUUUUUUUGUGGUGCGUGGGGGGGCUCUGCGAUGAUGUGAUGGAAUGUUUGCAGACAAGUUUUUUUCAUCACAAAAUCACUUUUCCCACUCAGAUAUACCCAAGACCACAGACCCUGACCCAAAGAUUUUCUGAAAAAUAGUGUGGAGGAAACUGGGUGACUAAAGACUAGAAUUACAGCAAUACGAUCACACUGUUACUAUCUUUAUAUGAAUAUGUAUCAUUGUUUUGCAAAGCUUCCC